GGCUAAUACCGCAUAACGUCGCAAGACCAAAGAGGGGGACCUUCGGGCCUCUUGCCAUCAGAUGUGCCCAGAUGGGAUUAGCUUGUUGGUGAGGUAACGGCUCACCAAGGCGACGAUCCCUAGCUGGUCUGAGAGGAUGACCAGCCACACUGGAACUGAGACACGGUCCAGACUCCUACGGGAGGCAGCAGUGGGGAAUAUUGCACAAUGGGCGCAAGCCUGAUGCAGCCAUGCCGCGUGUAUGAAGAAGGCCUUCGGGUUGUAAAGUACUUUCAGCGGGGAGGAAGGUGUUGUGGUUAAUAACCGCAGCAAUUGACGUUACCCGCAGAAGAAGCACCGGCUAACUCCGUGCCAGCAGCCGCGGUAAUACGGAGGGUGCAAGCGUUAAUCGGAAUUACUGGGCGUAAAGCGCACGCAGGCGGUCUGUCAAGUCGGAUGUGAAAUCCCCGGGCUCAACCUGGGAACUGCAUUCGAAACUGGCAGGCUUGAGUCUUGUAGAGGGGGGUAGAAUUCCAGGUGUAGCGGUGAAAUGCGUAGAGAUCUGGAGGAAUACCGGUGGCGAAGGCGGCCCCCUGGACAAAGACUGACGCUCAGGUGCGAAAGCGUGGGGAGCAAACAGGAUUAGAUACCCUGGUAGUCCACGCCGUAAACGAUGUCUACUUGGAGGUUGUGCCCUUGAGGCGUGGCUUCCGGAGCUAACGCGUUAAGUAGACCGCCUGGGGAGUACGGCCGCAAGGUUAAAACUCAAAUGAAUUGACGGGGGCCCGCACAAGCGGUGGAGCAUGUGGUUUAAUUCGAUGCAACGCGAAGAACCUUACCUGGUCUUGACAUCCACAGAACUUUCCAGAGAUGGAUUGGUGCCUUCGGGAACUGUGAGACAGGUGCUGCAUGGCUGUCGUCAGCUCGUGUUGUGAAAUGUUGGGUUAAGUCCCGCAACGAGCGCAAC
This 946-nucleotide ribosomal RNA is filed under the name Salmonella enterica. RNAcentral describes it as "partial 16S ribosomal RNA". It matches the Rfam family "Bacterial small subunit ribosomal RNA", at positions 161 to 1102 of the family's 1533-position model. RNAcentral also lists the same sequence under 2 other names. The record is from RNAcentral. Lineage: Bacteria; Pseudomonadati; Pseudomonadota; Gammaproteobacteria; Enterobacterales; Enterobacteriaceae.